GACGAACGCUGGCGGCGUGCCUUACGCAUGCAAGUCGAGCGGGGUACAGGGCUUCGGCUCUGUACCUAGCGGCAGACGGCUGAGUAACACGUAAGCAACCUGCCCUCCAGUGGGGAAUAACCCCUCGAAAGAGGGGCUAAUACCGCAACGUUCCCGGAGGGGAGUUCUCCGGGAGGAAAGCCUUCGGGCGCUGGAGGAGGGGCUUGUGGCCUAUCAGGUAGUUGGUGGGGUAACGGCCUACCAAGCCUACGACGGGUAGCUGGUCUGAGAGGAUGAUCAGUCAGACGGGGACUGAGACACGGCCCCGACUCCUACGGGAGGCAGCAGCGAGGAAUCUUGCGCAAUGGGCGAAAGCCUGACGCAGCAACGCCGCGUGGGGGAAGAAGGCUUUCGAGUCGUAAACCCCUUUUGCAGGGGAAGAAGAUCUGACGGUACCCUGCGAAUAAGCCACGGCUAACUACGUGCCAGCAGCCGCGGUAAUACGUAGGUGGCAAGCGUUGUCCGGAUUUACUGGGCGUGAAGGGCGUGUAGGCGGUCUAUUAAGUUCGGGGUGAAAUCUCUCGGCUUAACUGGGAGCGGCCCCCGGAUACUGAUGGACUAGAGGGGGGUAGAGGAAGGCGGAAUUCCCGGAGUAGCGGUGAAAUGCGUAGAUACCGGGAGGAACACCGGUGGCGAAGGCGGCCUUCUGGGCCUACCCUGACGCUGAGGCGCGAAAGCGUGGGGAGCAAACCGGAUUAGAUACCCGGGUAGUCCACGCCGUAAACGAUGGACACUAGGUGUGGGGGGUAUCGACCCCCUCCGUGCCGAAGCUAACGCGAUAAGUGUCCCGCCUGGGGAGACGGCCGCAAGGCU
RNAcentral lists this ribosomal RNA (852 nucleotides) under uncultured Chloroflexota bacterium. Its description in RNAcentral is "bacterial SSU rRNA". It matches the Rfam family "Bacterial small subunit ribosomal RNA", at positions 28 to 895 of the family's 1533-position model. The record is from RNAcentral. Lineage: Bacteria; Bacillati; Chloroflexota.